RNAcentral lists this ribosomal RNA (254 nucleotides) under uncultured bacterium. RNAcentral's name for it is "partial 16S ribosomal RNA". It matches the Rfam family "Bacterial small subunit ribosomal RNA", at positions 524 to 776 of the family's 1533-position model. The record is from RNAcentral.
UACAGAGGUGGCAAGCGUUGUUCGGAAUUACUGGGCGUAAAGGGCGCGUAGGCGGUCUUGUAAGUCUUGUGUGAAAUCCCUCGGCUCAACUGAGGAACUGCACGGGAUACUGCGAGACUUGAGUUCGGGAGAGGGAAGCGGAAUUCCGGGUGUAGCGGUGAAAUGCGUAGAUAUCCGGAGGAACACCGGUGGCGAAGGCGGCUUCCUGGACCGAUUACUGACGCUGAGGCGCGAAAGCUAGGGGAGCAAACAGG